CGCCGAAUCCUGCCGCCGCCCGAGGGAAGCAGUCGAUAUCGACUGGCGGCAGGAGCGGGGGAACCAAGUGAGCCGACAUCGGCACUGCCGAUGCCUGGGGUGAAGCCAUGCCUGUGACAGGCGAGGCCGGGCCAAUCGUCCGAACCCGACAGCUAACUUCGUAGGCGCCCGACGAGGUAAUCA
RNAcentral lists this small RNA (183 nucleotides) under Embleya scabrispora. Its description in RNAcentral is "Streptomyces scabrisporus c-di-AMP sequence". It matches the Rfam family "c-di-AMP riboswitch aptamer (ydaO/yuaA leader)". From Rfam's summary of the family: This family represents a conserved RNA structure found upstream of the ydaO and yuaA genes in Bacillus subtilis and related genes in other bacteria. Lineage: Bacteria; Bacillati; Actinomycetota; Actinomycetes; Kitasatosporales; Streptomycetaceae. The record is from RNAcentral.